AGAUUGAACGCUGGCGGCAUGCCUUACACAUGCAAGUCGAACGGCAGCGCGGGAGCAAUCCUGGCGGCGAGUGGCGAACGGGUGAGUAAUACAUCGGAACGUGCCCAAUCGUGGGGGAUAACGCAGCGAAAGCUGUGCUAAUACCGCAUACGAUCUACGGAUGAAAGCAGGGGAUCGCAAGACCUUGCGCGAAUGGAGCGGCCGAUGGCAGAUUAGGUAGUUGGUGAGGUAAAGGCUCACCAAGCCUUCGAUCUGUAGCUGGUCUGAGAGGACGACCAGCCACACUGGGACUGAGACACGGCCCAGACUCCUACGGGAGGCAGCAGUGGGGAAUUUUGGACAAUGGGCGAAAGCCUGAUCCAGCCAUGCCGCGUGCAGGAUGAAGGCCUUCGGGUUGUAAACUGCUUUUGUACGGAACGAAACGGCCUUUUCUAAUAAAGAGGGCUAAUGACGGUACCGUAAGAAUAAGCACCGGCUAACUACGUGCCAGCAGCCGCGGUAAUACGUAGGGUGCAAGCGUUAAUCGGAAUUACUGGGCGUAAAGCGUGCGCAGGCGGUUUGUUAAGACAGAUGUGAAAUCCCCGGGCUUAACCUGGGAACUGCAUUGGUGACUGGCAGGCUUGAGUGUGGCAGAGGGAGGUAGAAUUCCA
RNAcentral lists this ribosomal RNA (650 nucleotides) under uncultured Variovorax sp. Its description in RNAcentral is "bacterial SSU rRNA". It matches the Rfam family "Bacterial small subunit ribosomal RNA", at positions 26 to 671 of the family's 1533-position model. Lineage: Bacteria; Pseudomonadati; Pseudomonadota; Betaproteobacteria; Burkholderiales; Comamonadaceae. The record is from RNAcentral.